AUAUAUAAAUUUUAUUUUAAAAAAAUUGAAGAAUUUUUGCUCCACAAUCAAGUGUCUUGACUUUGGUACUCCAAAACUGUUCACAUAAAAUGAGACUGAGGAAUGUAAUUCAAUCCCAAAGUAUGUUUGACAUUCCAAUAACAAGAUGAACAGAAAAUGUUGUUCGAACGGGAGGAAAAUGAUAAUAUGACGAAAAUGCACUUGGGGUGUGUUUAGGAGCAAAUGAUUGGAGUUUUAGAAGUUGAAAAGUCGUACAAGGGGGUUGAUCCCGAGGGCAUUUCAGUCCUUAGAAUUAUGUUCCCCCAUGAGUUUGCUACCCCGUUUUCCCGUAUUACGUACUUGUUUAUUUUUGCUACUUAUAGGAAAUACAGCUUUUUCCAUUUUGGUUACUGAAUUAAACACUCAUCAGCUUAUAAUCAACACACGAAUGACCUUAGUACGAUUCUCUAUUUUAAAAUUCCCUUACUGUUGCAUUUUAGUAUGAUUUAUUAUUAUUAUUAAUAAUAAUAAUAUUCUUGAAAUUUUUUUAAAAACACAGGUUCCACCUGCUGUCGGAAUUUGAUAACGGGAAGAGAAGUUGCAGGAAACGUUUGGCAGAUCAUAACAGAAGGAGGAGAAAAAAUCAACAAGCAAACAUAGAAAACAGCAAUAAGUCUCAACUUGACAGUACCAGAAAUUCCUCAUCCGACAGUCUUGCAAGGUCUCCACCAGAUUCAGGAGCUCAUUCUUCAUCAGUGACAGUGGCAAUUUCACCACCAAGAAUCUCACUGGAUUGUUUUAGGCAAAGACCAUAGCAAAAAUGCUGCUGCUGCUAGCCUGCUACAACAUUAUUUCAUCAUUGACAAGUUCAUGACUUUUCUUCUCCAAUGGGUGACUCCAUGAUCUGCUUCCUUUUACUUCUGAUUUCAAGCUCUAAUGGCUACUACCACUACCAAGUAUUAGUACUAAUUACUACUAUUUAAUAGGUUAAAAUGAAUGAUUGAAGUAUUAGAAUUAUGUUAACCCCUUAUAUUUUGUCCCACUUUCUAUUAAUUCCAAUAUCUUUUAGUAUUAUAAUGAUGUUAACACAUUAAUUCCAAUCUCGUUCACAAAAGAUUGGGAUUUGAGUUUUAGUAUAGGGGGACUGCUUUGUAUUGUCACUUGUAGAAACAUAUUAAUCUUGAAAAUGGGAAAGGAUUGAAAUUGGUUUUCCCAAUUUGUA
Molecule: non-coding RNA, 1201 nt
Organism: Nicotiana tabacum (common tobacco)
Lineage: Eukaryota; Viridiplantae; Streptophyta; Magnoliopsida; Solanales; Solanaceae
Source: RefSeq, a predicted model, not a curated record